RNAcentral lists this ribosomal RNA (505 nucleotides) under uncultured bacterium. Its description in RNAcentral is "partial 16S ribosomal RNA". It matches the Rfam family "Bacterial small subunit ribosomal RNA", at positions 28 to 507 of the family's 1533-position model. The record is from RNAcentral.
GACGAACGCUGGCGGCGUGCCUAAUACAUGCAAGUAGAACGCACAGUUUAUACCGUAGCUUGCUACACCAUAGACUGUGAGUUGCGAACGGGUGAGUAACGCGUAGGUAACCUGCCUGGUAGCGGGGGAUAACUAUUGGAAACGAUAGCUAAUACCGCAUAAUAUUAAUUAUUGCAUGAUAAUUAAUUGAAAGGUGCAAUUGCACCACUACCAGAUGGACCUGCGUUGUAUUAGCUAGUAGGUGAGGUAACGGCUCACCUAGGCGACGAUACAUAGCCGACCUGAGAGGGUGAUCGGCCACACUGGGACUGAGACACGGCCCAGACUCCUACGGGAGGCAGCAGUAGGGAAUCUUCGGCAAUGGACGAAAGUCUGACCGAGCAACGCCGCGUGAGUGAAGAAGGGUUUCGGAUCGUAAAGCUCUGUUGUAAGAGAAGAACGGGUGUGAGAGUGGAAAGUUCACACUGUGACGGUAGCUUACCAGAAAGGGACGGCUAACUACGUG